Molecule: long non-coding RNA, 1008 nt
Filed under: Homo sapiens (human)
Lineage: Eukaryota; Metazoa; Chordata; Mammalia; Primates; Hominidae
Description: HSALNT0077025
Source: RNAcentral
AGUUUCAGCUUUCUACAUAUGGCUAGCCAGUUUUCCCAGCACCAUUUAUUAAAUAGGGAAUCCUUUCCCCAUUGCUUGUUUUUCUCAGGUUUGUCAAAGAUCAGAUAGUUGUAGAUAUGCGGCAUUAUUUCUGAGGCCUCUGUUCUGUUCCAUUGAUCUAUAUCUCUGUUUUGGUACCAGUAUCAAGCCAAAAGAACAAAGCUGGAGGCAUCACACUACCCGACUUCAAACUAUACUACAAGGCUACUGUGUCAACACUUUUAAUGUGGCUAAGUCGCUAAUAGAAUCAAAUCUAAAAGACAUAUGACCUCCCAAUUUUGUAAAUCAAUUUAACAAUUAUUAUUUAAAUACCUACUUAUUUCUAAAAAUGUCUAGGCAGCCCACAUCUCAUACUGCCUCUGUCUCUAUGCACUGUGCUUGGUUGAAUGCACACUGAGAGUGGAGGACAGAGUUGUUUACCAAACAUUAUUCCCCUAACUUGAAGGUCCCUUUGCUCUUUUUUUAUUUCUGCUAUUUUUCUUCCCAUCUCCCUGGGGAAUCCUAACAAGAUUACAUACUAGAGAGAUAAAAUCCAUUGCUUUGCUAUUGUGGCCGCACUAUGAUCCUUCUUUCUCUGGCUCCAAUUUGCUGAAGUCCCAAUGACACAGCACAAAAGAGAAGAAAAUAUUUGCUAUAAUCCCUACUUUUCAAUAAUUUUAGAAAUAAUUUCUUUUGCCUAAUUCUACCUCUUUACUUUCAUCAAUCUUUUGCUCCAAGAAAGAAAGGUGUUAUGGGGAACAGUUAUGCUCACUAUCUUUGUGAUUCCAUAGAAAAGAAAAGGAAGCUUCUGUCAGCACACACACUCCACAUAUUCAUACACACCACAGACACAAACCACACUCACCACACAUGCACACACACCCCACAUAAACACACCAGGCACAUACUCUGCCUCUGCCUCCCCAGUCUUGAAGGCAACGCUACAGGUUCCUGGCUUCUCCAUUUGUGACUGGGGAAAUUGAUUCCAGU